ACACGACUACAUUAGAUACCCCUGUAGUCCUAGCCGUAAACGAUACUCGCUAGGUGUCGGCCACGGUGCGACCGUUGUCGGUGCCGUAGGGAAGCCGUGAAGCGAGCCACCUGGGAAGUACGGCCGCAAGGCUGAAACUUAAAGGGAAUUGGCGGGGGAGCACAACAACGGGUGGAGCUUGCGGUUUAAUUGGAUUCAACGCCGGAAAUCUUACCGGGACCGACAGCAACAUGAAGGCCAAGCUGAAGACUUUGCCGGAUUAGCUG
This 266-nucleotide ribosomal RNA is filed under the name uncultured archaeon. Its description in RNAcentral is "partial 16S ribosomal RNA". It matches the Rfam family "Archaeal small subunit ribosomal RNA", at positions 717 to 982 of the family's 1478-position model. The record is from RNAcentral.